Molecule: ribosomal RNA, 912 nt
Filed under: uncultured bacterium
Lineage: Bacteria
Description: bacterial SSU rRNA
Rfam family: Bacterial small subunit ribosomal RNA
Source: RNAcentral
AGAGUUUGAUCAUGGCUCAGAUUGAACGCUGGCGGCAGGCUUAACACAUGCAAGUCGAGCGGGGAAAGGUAGCUUGCUACCUGACCCAGCGGCGGGCGGGUGAGUAAUGCUUAGGAAUCUGCCUAUUAGUGGGGGACAACAUUCCGAAAGGAAUGCUAAUACCGCAUACGCCCUACGGGGGAAAGCAGGGGAUCUUCGGACCUUGCGCUAAUAGAUGAGCCUAAGUCAGAUUAGCUAGUUGGUGGGGUAAAGGCCUACCAAGGCGACGAUCUGUAGCGGGUCUGAGAGGAUGAUCCGCCACACUGGGACUGAGACACGGCCCAGACUCCUACGGGAGGCAGCAGUGGGGAAUAUUGGACAAUGGGCGAAAGCCUGAUCCAGCCAUGCCGCGUGUGUGAAGAAGGCCUUUUGGUUGUAAAGCACUUUAAGCGAGGAGGAGGCUACUUGGAUUAAUACUCUAGGAUAGUGGACGUUACUCGCAGAAUAAGCACCGGCUAACUCUGUGCCAGCAGCCGCGGUAAUACAGAGGGUGCGAGCGUUAAUCGGAUUUACUGGGCGUAAAGCGUGCGUAGGCGGCUUUUUAAGUCGGAUGUGAAAUCCCUGAGCUUAACUUAGGAAUUGCAUUCGAUACUGGGAAGCUAGAGUAUGGGAGAGGAUGGUAGAAUUCCAGGUGUAGCGGUGAAAUGCGUAGAGAUCUGGAGGAAUACCGAUGGCGAAGGCAGCCAUCUGGCCUAAUACUGACGCUGAGGUACGAAAGCAUGGGGAGCAAACAGGAUUAGAUACCCUGUAGUCCAUGCCGUAAACGAUGUCUACUAGCCGUUGGGGCCUUUGAGGCUUUAGUGGCGCAGCUAACGCGAUAAGUAGACCGCCUGGGAGUACGGUCGCAAGACUAAAACUCAAAUGAAUUGACGG